UACGUAGGGGCCUAGCGUUGCCCGGAAUUAUUGGGCGUAAAGAGCUCGUAGGCGGUUCGGCAAGUCGGAUGUGAAAUCUCCACGCUUAACGUGGAGGGGCCAUUCGAAACUGCUGUGACUCGAGUCCGGUAGGGGAGUGUGGAAUUCCCGGUGUAGCGGUGAAAUGCGCAGAUAUCGGGAGGAACACCAGUAGCGAAGGCGGCACUCUGGGCCGGAACUGACGCUGAGGAGCGAAAGCGUGGGGAGCGAACAGG
RNAcentral lists this ribosomal RNA (254 nucleotides) under uncultured bacterium. Its description in RNAcentral is "partial 16S ribosomal RNA". It matches the Rfam family "Bacterial small subunit ribosomal RNA", at positions 524 to 776 of the family's 1533-position model. The record is from RNAcentral.